CAGUUGCUGCCCAGCUCUGCCCAUGACCCUAGUAUUCCUGACUCCACACACAGAUACUCCCUGCCUCAGCUACCAGCCAAGAAAACAGGAAGCCAGCCAAGCUCCAACCAGGUUGCUGCAUCAAAGCAGCCACAUUAUGGUGCACAUUCCUAAUGCUCUUGUUCUCUGGGAUAGAACAGAUGCACCUGGAAGACUAUGGAAGAAAUCAUUUUCUAGGAAAGAAUUUGUACACUGUGAAAGCCAGUCCCUACCAAGGCCAGCAUGGAACUCAGCAGGCGGUGGACUCCCAGCUCUGCGUGUGCAGGCCAGGCCUCCUGUCUAACCUGUCCAGGCAUCAUCUAUCAUAGUCUCCGCCCCAGGACAGCUGUCACUGUCCCCAGUCAAUUCUGGAAACUCUGUGUGUGUGUGUGUGUGUGUGUGUGUGUGUGUGUGUGUGGUGUGUUGGGGGGAGAAUCCCAUCUGAUCAGGGGCCACCUGCAGCCAUGGCUCUUUCUUGCUACUCUCACCAGUGGCUGGUGCUAAAGACAUUUGAAACUAGAGUAACAAGUAUCGAGUACUAGAGAUGGAACCCUGGAUCUCACAUUUGCUAGGCAAGCUCUCUACAACUUGAGCCACACUCCCAGCUCUUCUGUUGCUAUUUUAUUUUUGUGACAGUGUCUUGCUCACUUUGUCUGGUAUGGCCUCCAACUCCAAUGUGCAAUUCUCCAGUAGUUGAGCCACCACUCCUGGCUCUAACAACAGAUGCUGGAGAGGAUGUGGACAGAAGGGAACCUUACUCCAUUGUUGGUGGGAGUGUAAAC
Long non-coding RNA from Dipodomys spectabilis (banner-tailed kangaroo rat), 800 nucleotides. RefSeq lists it as uncharacterized. The transcript is spliced from 3 exons. Lineage: Eukaryota; Metazoa; Chordata; Mammalia; Rodentia; Heteromyidae. The record is from RefSeq and is a predicted model, not a curated record.